This 497-nucleotide ribosomal RNA is filed under the name uncultured bacterium. RNAcentral describes it as "partial 16S ribosomal RNA". It matches the Rfam family "Bacterial small subunit ribosomal RNA", at positions 28 to 507 of the family's 1533-position model. The record is from RNAcentral.
GAUGAACGCUGGCGGCGUGCCUAAUACAUGCAAGUCGAGCGAACAGACGAGGAGCUUGCUCCUCUGACGUUAGCGGCGGACGGGUGAGUAACGCGUGGAUAACCUACCUAUAUGACUGGGAUAACUACGGGAAACCGGAGCUAAUCCCGGAUAACAUGCUGCACCGCAUGGGGCAACAGUGAAAGACGGUCUUGCUGGCACUUAUCGAUGGUUCCGGGCCGGAUUAGCUAGUUGGUAAGGUCACGGCCUACCAAGGCAACGAUGCGUAGCCGACCUGAGAGGGUGAUCGGCCACACUGGAACUGAGACACGGUCCAGACUCCUACGGGAGGCCGCAGUCGGGAAUCGGCGGCAAUGGGCGAAAGCCUGACGGAGCAACGCGGCGUGAGUGAAGAAGGUCUUCGGAUCGUAAAGCUCUGUUAUGGGGGAAGAACAAAUGUGUAAGUAAAUAUGCACGUCUUGACGGUACCUAAUCAGAAAGCAACGGCUAACUACGUG